UACAGACGGUCCAAACGUUAUUCGGAAUCACUGGGCUUAAAGAGUUCGUAGGCGGUCAGGAAAGUGGGGUGUGAAAGCCCUCGGCUUAACCGAGGAAUUGCGCUCCAAACUCCCUGACUUGAGGAGGCUAGAGGUAAGCGGAACUGAUGGUGGAGCGGUGAAAUGCGUUGAUAUCAUCAGGAACACCGGAGGCGAAGGCGGCUUACUGGGGCCUUUCUGACGCUGAGGAACGAAAGCUAGGGGAGCGAAC
RNAcentral lists this ribosomal RNA (250 nucleotides) under uncultured bacterium. RNAcentral describes it as "partial 16S ribosomal RNA". It matches the Rfam family "Bacterial small subunit ribosomal RNA", at positions 524 to 773 of the family's 1533-position model. The record is from RNAcentral.